Molecule: small nuclear RNA, 18 nt
Filed under: Arabidopsis thaliana (thale cress)
Lineage: Eukaryota; Viridiplantae; Streptophyta; Magnoliopsida; Brassicales; Brassicaceae
Description: snRNA_05422
Source: RNAcentral
UGAAGCAACUGCUGAGCA